AGUGAACGCUGGCGGUAGGCCUAACACAUGCAAGUCGAACGGCAGCACAGUAAGAGCUUGCUCUUACGGGUGGCGAGUGGCGGACGGGUGAGGAAUACAUCGGAAUCUACUUUUUCGUGGGGGAUAACGUAGGGAAACUUACGCUAAUACCGCAUACGACCUACGGGUGAAAGCAGGGGAUCUUCGGACCUUGCGCGAUUGAAUGAGCCGAUGUCGGAUUAGCUAGUUGGCGGGGUAAAGGCCCACCAAGGCGACGAUCCGUAGCUGGUCUGAGAGGAUGAUCAGCCACACUGGAACUGAGACACGGUCCAGACUCCUACGGGAGGCAGCAGUGGGGAAUAUUGGACAAUGGGCGCAAGCCUGACCCAGCCACACCGCGUGGGUGAAGAAGGCCUUCGGGUUGUAAAGCCCUUUUGUUGGGAAAGAAAAGCAGUAGGUUAAUACCCCGCUGUUCUGACGGUACCCAAAGAAUAAGCACCGGCUAACUUCGUG
This 492-nucleotide ribosomal RNA is filed under the name uncultured bacterium. RNAcentral describes it as "partial 16S ribosomal RNA". It matches the Rfam family "Bacterial small subunit ribosomal RNA", at positions 29 to 507 of the family's 1533-position model. The record is from RNAcentral.